RNAcentral lists this long non-coding RNA (513 nucleotides) under Phasianus colchicus (ring-necked pheasant). RNAcentral's name for it is "lncRNA (ENSPCLG00000019296.1)". The record is from RNAcentral. Lineage: Eukaryota; Metazoa; Chordata; Aves; Galliformes; Phasianidae.
UAUACAACCAGCAUUACAGCACAAGAGUGGUCUUCCAGCAGUGAUACAACCUGAAUGUGAGCUGUGUGAUGGAGCGAGGCUGCACGGCAGUCCUCACCCGUUCCUACAGUAGGCUUCCAAAUGCAAGUUGAAAAUAAAGCAUCAGGACAGUGGUUUCACCCAAGUCCGGUUCACAGGUCUAUCUACCAUCUGGAGCAAUUAUAAGGUGAACAGAAAGCUGGGGAAAUACUGUUCCCAAGGAAAGGGUGUCCAGCAGUAGAGGCACCGGUCCAUCCCAGAACCCUCACCCAUACCUCCAGGACAGUGAUGUGCUUCUCCACUAAGUUGCAGAAUUGAAGAGUCUGAGGACCUGAUGUUAAAAUUUUAAGAUAGGUAUCUCUCAGGGUCCAUCAUGUUUCUGGCAGUAUAACAGGACUUUGAACUCCGACCUCUCUUUGGGAUUGUAACAACAGUAUGUCCAGGUUAUACAGAAGUCACUUAAAUGCUUACAAUAAAUGUAUUAAUUAAGAGCCA